UCUUGGCCCUCAUUUGGAGGAAGCUUUGCUAUUGGGCUCCUGACCUGGCCUCUGGGACUGCCUUAGAACUGGCUUCCUGGGUAAAAAGAGGGUAAUUGUUCCUGCCCUGCCUACCUUAUAGACUGCUGGGCCACAGGGGAUGGUGGAGAUGGAAACCUCAAAGCCCUGACUUGGGGUGCUCAUGUCCUGGCUAAAAGGAGAAGAAAGGAGAAGACAAAUCAAAGUCAUGAUUUUUUGAAGUCUUUCGUUAAAGCUAGUCAAUUUUCCUCUUGGUACAGGGGAAACCUGGAAGGGCACCCACAGAAUAAGUAUCAUCAAGUUGGGCAAGUCUUAGAAGGCUCUCAGUCACCUCCUGACCACUUGUUCCAGGAAGACAACAUCCCUCCCCAAAGUUCAAAGUUUUUGAACUAGUUUGGGCCAGAAGUUGAGCUCUGUAGGUAACCUCAACUGCAAAAAAAUAAGGUGGAAGUGCAAGGGAGUAGGAAGAUGAGAAAGGCCAAAAGAAAAGGAAGGAAACUUUGCAAGGGAUGCUGCGGCUUUCCCACUGGACAAAGAAGCAUAUCUAAUCUCUGGAUAAUGCCCUUCACAGAAAACCGUUUGGUGCUUAGGAAAUAGAAAACAAAAACAUCUUCACAGAGAAAAGGCAACUCAAUUCAAGCAAGUUUCAGAACAGGGCUGAGAGAAGAGAUUGAGGAGGUUAAAAAGGAACUAGUGUGUGUCUCUCCCUCCCUAAUCAGCCUCUUCCCCCACCACCUUUCCCUUUCCUGAGCAGAAUGUUCUCUGGCCUGGCAACAAUGGAGAAUUAAGGAGGGGAGUUUUAAACUGAACAGACCCUACUUUUAGAACAGUGUAGUAGUCUUUUUAGUACAUAGUAGGAUCUCUCUCUCUCUCUCUCUCUCUGUGUGCCCCUCCCUCCCUCUCACUCCCAAUCUAAAUGCCUACAUUCCUUGUACUCUC
Molecule: long non-coding RNA, 957 nt
Filed under: Monodelphis domestica (gray short-tailed opossum)
Lineage: Eukaryota; Metazoa; Chordata; Mammalia; Didelphimorphia; Didelphidae
Description: lncRNA (ENSMODG00000049429.1)
Source: RNAcentral